CCAGUGGUCAAGCAUGAAGUAUGGUUCUGUGAAAUAAUGAACUCUUUUCAGCUGAAUACAAGUCCAUGUUCUUCCUUUCACAGAUACAAGAUCACACCUGUAGACUGUAAAAUUGCCAGCCAUGAGGGUACAUCUCUAAUCAAGCACGUACAUGUACAGCCUUCGCAGAUUUAAGCUUACACCUGUAAUCUCAAGAGGACCCAUGACGAGGAUACAUCACUUGUUAUCAAACAGCCUUCUACUAUUGGCUUAUGCCUCUACCCCAAGACUUACUGAUGCAGGGUUCUUGUGUGGCUAUUCUGUGGAUAUGAAGAAUCUGUUGCAUCAGUUGAGGACCUGCUUGCCUGCAAGAAGGGGAACACUUGGUGUGACUCUGCAUUAGGACUGUUUAUGAAAAGAGCAAAUCCAUAGCAAUCUUUCUUCCACUUUAUCCCGCCACUACUUCACCCCCUGCGAAAAAUGCCCUUUGAGGAGAAAACUCAUUGCAUGUAGUUGGAAACUCUUGUACUUUUUUUAAAUUAGAAUGAAUUUAAGAUUUAUUUGGCUUCCACCCAUCAUAUUUACAUUGCUGUGGAUUUGCUUGGAGUUAUUUAUGUGACCAGCUCUAUCGAAAUCAGGAGUAAGUUGAGAAAUGACAGUUUAUCGAAGGGUGGCAUCAUUAAAGAAAACCUUUGAAGCGCAAACUGUCACAAAAAGAGCCUUAGCAGGUUUGACUUCACUUUCAAAGAGCUUGGCUUUUUCAGACCAUCUCUCAGCCAAGGGAGGAUGGGACUUCCAAAGAACUUGGUCUUCACAUGCUUGAUCUUUUGGAAACUAGUCAUGCACGUAAAAGCACAAAUUAAAUCUGAUAUUGGGCUUUCAUGUUAUGGCUGUUUGAAGUUCAUGGCCUCAAGCAUGUUGUCUGCAUCCAUCAAGGAUGUCAUUGGAAAAUAAAAGACUUGGAACUGAGACUGCUUUUUAUUGCUUAAAAGAAGUGUGUAACAUUCGGCAUUUAUUUCUGCUCUGUGGAAAUACUGGAGAACAUAUGGGGGGAGGGAAUUCUUUCCCAAAACAUCUUUUGGAUUUGAGAUUUGUCAGAAACUAUUCCAAAUGCUGAAGGUACUAAUAUACAAAUUGCAAUGCCAAUUACUUAAUGACUUAGUUCUAUUCCCACUUGUGAUUGUGAUAACUACAAUAACAAAAAGUCCACUUUUCCAUGUUGAAAGGAGAGCUGAGUGUUGUAAAUCUUGAAGUUUUGAUUUGGAUGGAGCAGGUCACAUCAUUGCUAAAGUCUUGAGGUUUUUUAAAGCUUUAACAGUGUUACACUUCACUAGUCACUGAAAAUGAAUAAAACAAAUGUAUGUGUAGUUUCUAGAAAAGAAUAAAAAAGUUUUUAGAUAAAGAACCAGGCACAUGUCUGUGAAGGGUUUAACUGGAUAGUUGCUUCAAGUAGCAUUAAGUAGCACGACUUUAAUUAAGUCAUCUAAUCAACAUUUUUUUUUUCGGGACAAGUUUUUUUUUUCCAGGUCAAGAUAAAAUGUGAAUUACAGACAUUUUUUUAAAUAAAUUGUUUUAAAACUGUUGGAAAGGUCUCAAUGCUGUAAAAAUAGUAAUUCAAAAAAGAGUAUGGUUUUGUCUGUGAUUCCUGUUCUUCUAUGCCCUGCGAUAAAAGUUUGACAAGAACAGAUAAUCAUCAGACAUGUGCCUGGUUUUCUUGGUGAUUCAAAUUUCAGUCGUGUAUAAAUUGAACAACUUUUGUGUUUAAGUACAAAGUGACUUUCAAAUUAUCAUACAUGUACACUGUAGUGUAUAGUCUACAAUGGCAUAUAAUACACAUGAUAUACUGUAUAUUGUACAUUAGACACAGUGUGUUCACUAAUACAAAAUGGACUUUGGGUAUUUUUAUUUUACUGUGCUUUUUCUGUGAUUGUAUUCAUAACUGACCUGCAAUUUAAACAGUGAUUUUGCAGCCAAGUAUUCCUUUGAAAUGUUUACCAAGUCCUCAAUAUGUGCAUGUUAGAGCUGAUGAUUUCAAGAUAUCAGUGUUAGCCUUCAAGAGGUUUGAAAAGUCAGUAGUGACAGUGGAUGCAAGUUACUUUACCAAACAACUUCUAUGGUAGGUUCUGAAUUAUGGGUUUUGCCUUUAAAGUUGUUUACCAUUGAUGAAACAUUUUUCCAGCUUUGUGUUAGCAGAAAUUUUUUUUUCUUGACAAUAUUUUUCUUAUUUUUAAUGUUUGCCUGACAGCCCCUUUUAAAUUUGUUUGAUUUAUUCAUGUACUCAUUUAAUUUCUGUCUGGGGCCCGGACAGAUUUUGCAAGACCGAUAUUAGGCCCCCCAAAAAGGUCUCGAGUUUCUGGUGAGGAAGUUGGCUCCAAAAGUGGUAUAGUGAUGCAGCUUUUUUUUUUUUUUUGAACUGAUGUGUGAUAACGCACGAUGUCUUCCGAUGUGCACCGACACUUAUAUAGACUGGCGCCUGCAAUUUUACAGUUUAAAAGCAUUUUCAGCUUGUACGUGUACACGGGACAUGAGACCACCUUGUUUGUCUGGUUACCGGAUGCAAACAUAUAAAACAGAAAUGACGUCAUCUGAAAAGAGUGUCCAAUUAAACGACUGGGGAUUCAGUUUCCUUAACUUGUACAUAUUACUCGACUGUACCCCAUCAAAAACACGUUAAAUUUAUGCAGUAGCAGGAUUCCACUUGAUUAAGCAAGUUUGGCAGCUUUUCAACAUCAUUUAUACCAAAUAAAAAACUUAUUUGGCUGAUGCGCAGGUCUACGUCAACACGUGAGCUAACCAGAAGCUGGGACUUUUUUUGGCCAUACCCGACUUUUUAGAAUACUUCAUUUGUUGUGUUUUUUUUUUUUUUUUCAUUUAAAAAUGCAAACUAAAAAAAACCCGGGAACUCCAAACCAGUAAUCAAUGGUAGACAACGUGUCCAACACUGAUAAAAGAUUCUCGGAUUACAUUUGCUGGAAAGGAAAUAGUGUGUAUAUUGCUUACGUUUUACAUGAUGUGCCAUUGUAGACUUUGUUUUAAUUUGUUUAUAACAAGCUUCCGGUUCUGAAUGGUGUCUUCUUUCCUGUAGGGGGUCUGCUGUCCAUUUCGCAAGUUUCCAAGCAUGCAGUUAGAGCCUUGCAGUUAACUUUCUAUUUCUGCAUCAAGUUGGCAGUGUUUGAAAACAUUUAUGUUUAUAGUUACACUGUUCACCAUUUGGCCAUUAAAUCUGUAUGCGCCUGUGUAACAGGGUUUUAUUUCUAAAUGUAACACUUGACGGCAAAUGUUCAUCUUGGAACCAUUAAGAGUUACAUGUAUGUUGCACUGUAGUUGGAACUUUGGCAAAGUAUCUGUUCUGCAAAUAUUUUUCUUACUGCAGAAAUCUGAAAUGGACAGCAGGUCUUAUGUCUUGAACUUCUGCUUUCCCCUCUAUGCCCCAAUGAACACACUGCAUCAAAUGUAAAAACAAUUGAGAUUUUUUCCCUAUCAAUGUAUGUUGAAUUUACAGUAGUCUUUCUGAAAUUAAGAAACUCCUUAAAAGACCUUUUUAUGUGUCUGUAGAGGGCGCUAUAUAAAAGUGAACAUUACUUGUUAAAACUUGAUGCAGCGUGUUCAUAAAAGACCAUUGACAAAUUAAUUUAACCAGAAGUGGGCCAAACAGUGGGUGGGGAUUAAGCAGACUGGGCAUGGUGAGUAAAUUUUUAAGACCAAAAUAUGGAUACAUGAAACAAGCGGGUUAUAUCAGUUUGUUUUGUUGAAACUUUUGGCAAUCCAUUGGGUGAUGCUUAAAGAAAAUAGUUUCAAUAAAGUCUUUAUUCCAA
Long non-coding RNA from Acanthaster planci (crown-of-thorns starfish), 3794 nucleotides. NCBI's taxonomy places the organism in Eukaryota, Metazoa, Echinodermata, Asteroidea, Valvatida, Acanthasteridae. The record is from RefSeq and is a predicted model, not a curated record.